Pelobates cultripes (western spadefoot toad) is the source of this 206-nucleotide non-coding RNA. The record is from the annotation of a GenBank genome assembly. Lineage: Eukaryota; Metazoa; Chordata; Amphibia; Anura; Pelobatidae.
CCACCUAGCACUUUCAUCCCAUACUUGUAGAACGCAUAACACAGCUAUUCACCUGGCUUUAAAGAAUCUCAUUGGAACACGACAUAGCUCAACCUGUUUAAUAACAUUUCUCCUAGGUUUUGCUUCAUUUUUUGCCACCUUAAACUAAAACCAUCUCACACACCAUUAAUUAUAUAUUUUACAGGCAUUCAACAACAGAGGAUAAC